CCUACGGGUGGCAGCAGUGGGGAAUAUUUGGCAAUGGGCGCAACCCUGACCCAGCGACGCCGCGUGAAGGAAGAAGGCUUUCGGGUUGUAAACUUCUUUUGUCAGGGACGAAGCAAGUGACGGUACCUGACGAAUAAGCCACGGCUAACUACGUGCCCGCAGCCGCGGUAAUACGUAGGUGGCAAGCGUUAUUCGGAUUUACUGGGUGUAAAGGGAGUGUAGGCGGGACUGUAAGUCAGAUGUGAAAAACACGGGCUCAACCUGCGGCCUGCAUUUGAAACUGUAGUUCUUGAGUACUGGAGAGGCAGACGGAAUUCCCAGUGUAGCGGUGAAAUGCGUAGAUAUUAGGAGGAACACCAGUGGCGAAGGCGGGUUGCUGGACAGCAACUGACGCUGAGGCGCGAAAGCGUGGGGAGCAAACAGGAUUAGAUACCCCAGUAGUC
This 443-nucleotide ribosomal RNA is filed under the name uncultured bacterium. RNAcentral describes it as "partial 16S ribosomal RNA". It matches the Rfam family "Bacterial small subunit ribosomal RNA", at positions 338 to 795 of the family's 1533-position model. The record is from RNAcentral.